This 301-nucleotide ribosomal RNA is filed under the name uncultured bacterium. Its description in RNAcentral is "partial 16S ribosomal RNA". It matches the Rfam family "Bacterial small subunit ribosomal RNA", at positions 509 to 809 of the family's 1533-position model. The record is from RNAcentral.
CAGCAGCCGCGGGAAUACGGAGGGUGCAAGCGUUAAUCGGAAUUACUGGGCGUAAAGCGCACGCAGGCGGUCUGUCAAGUCAGAUGUGAAAUCCCCGGGCUUAACCUGGGAACUGCAUUUGAAACUGGCAGGCUAGAGUCUUGUAGAGGGGGGUAGAAUUCCAGGUGUAGCGGUGAAAUGCGUAGAGAUCUGGAGGAAUACCGGUGGCGAAGGCGGCCCCCUGGACAAAGACUGACGCUCAGGUGCGAAAGCGUGGGGAGCAAACAGGAUUAGAUACCCGCGUAGUCCCUGUCUCUUAUAA